RNAcentral lists this signal recognition particle RNA (67 nucleotides) under Vibrio genomosp. F10 str. 9ZD137. Its description in RNAcentral is "partial signal recognition particle sRNA small type". It matches the Rfam family "Bacterial small signal recognition particle RNA", at positions 1 to 67 of the family's 97-position model. Rfam says of the family: The signal recognition particle (SRP) is a universally conserved ribonucleoprotein involved in the co-translational targeting of proteins to membranes. Archaeal SRP consists of a 7S RNA and homologues of the eukaryotic SRP19 and SRP54 proteins. Lineage: Bacteria; Pseudomonadati; Pseudomonadota; Gammaproteobacteria; Vibrionales; Vibrionaceae. The record is from RNAcentral.
CCCUGGUCCUCCCGCAACACUAACUUGUGAACUCGGUCAGAUCCGGAAGGAAGCAGCCGCAGCAGGC